AACGCACUUUGCACCUAGUGGCUUUUGUCACUAGGUAUACUUGUUUGAGUAUCAAAAACAACCUCACCUACCUUUCGAGGCAAGGUGGACUUGAGAGUUCGACUGACUAGGGGCAUUCGUGUCUCUGAGAGGUCGUCUCUUUAAAUGUGGUGGUCCUUUGUGGAAGGUCUCCGUCUGGAACCUGACAGACUAUUGGGAUAACAUCCUAACGAUCGUCUGUUGGUUCAUUUAUGGGCGUUGACUGACCUUGGCCAACUCUGAAGGAGCAUGGGCUUUACGGCUUAUGUGACUUUACUAGUGUGACGCAAGUCGCAUUGUCAUAUGAUCUCAAAUCAAGUAAGGAUACCCGCUGAACUUAA
Molecule: unclassified non-coding RNA, 359 nt
Filed under: uncultured fungus
Lineage: Eukaryota; Fungi
Description: partial contains ITS1, 5.8S rRNA and ITS2
Source: RNAcentral